GACGAACGCUGGCGGCGUGCCUAAUACAUGCAAGUAGAACGCACAGUUUAUACCGUAGCUUGCUACACCAUAGACUGUGAGUUGCGAACGGGUGAGUAACGCGUAGGUAACCUGCCUGGUAGCGGGGGAUAACUAUUUGAAACGAUAGCUAAUACCGCAUAAUAUUAAUUAUUGCAUGAUAAUUAAUUGAAAGGUGCAAUUGCACCACUACCAGAUGGACCUGCGUUGUAUUAGCUAGUAGGUGAGGUAACGGCUCACCUAGGCGACGAUACAUAGCCGACCUGAGAGGGUGAUCGGCCACACUGGGACUGAGACACGGCCCAGACUCCUACGGGAGGCAGCAGUAGGGAAUCUUCGGCAAUGGACGAAAGUCUGACCGAGCAACGCCGCGUGAGUGAAGAAGGGUUUCGGAUCGUAAAGCUCUGUUGUAAGAGAAGAACGGGUGUGAGAGUGGAAAGUUCACACUGUGACGGUAUCUUACCAGAAAGGGACGGCUAACUACGUG
This 505-nucleotide ribosomal RNA is filed under the name uncultured bacterium. RNAcentral describes it as "partial 16S ribosomal RNA". It matches the Rfam family "Bacterial small subunit ribosomal RNA", at positions 28 to 507 of the family's 1533-position model. The record is from RNAcentral.